UCGCGGGUAGUUCAGUUGGUAGAACACCAGACUUUGAAUCUGGUUGUCGCAGGUUCGAGCCCUGCCCCGCGAG
Molecule: transfer RNA, 73 nt
Filed under: Actinomycetes bacterium
Lineage: Bacteria; Bacillati; Actinomycetota; Actinomycetes
Description: tRNA-Gln
Rfam family: tRNA
About the family: Transfer RNA (tRNA) molecules are approximately 80 nucleotides in length.
Source: RNAcentral